AGAGAAUACAAAUCUCUAGCCUAAUUACCAUAGAAUACCAUUAAAAAUAACUUAAACCCACCUUAGAUCAGAUCAAAACAUCACGCCAAAAAAAUACAUAAUUAAAGACAAAAUAUAUUUUGAUUUCUUCUUUACAAAAGCUUGCCAUUUGCCACUUUUUGAUUGCACCCCUUAAAGCCUCCACUUUCAAGUUUUAGCUCUUGAGCAAUAAGUUCUGAUUUCCCCCCUUUGUACGUUUGUCUCUUGAGCAAUACAACUUUCUUACUUUACCUUAACCGUGCAGCCCCUUAACCUUUGCCAUGUUUUUCAUCUAUCAGUUGAUUCUCCAUUUUGUAACUCCACCUCUUCAAUUUUAGAAUCCUACAGUCAUGUCACUCCUUGCACAAAAGAAUCUGUCUCAAACACUCAGCUUUUCAUCUAGCUGAUGCAACAAAGCUGUGAAUCUGAUCUGCUACUACACCGGCCAACUCUUCAAUAAUUGAACUUCCGUUGAGUAAUCUUCAAUACUCUGGCUUCCUAACACAUUACCUAAAUGUCCAAGGCAUAGCAAAGGUCACCGAUUUCGCUCAAAGCUUCUACUACCUGACUUGCUCAAUCUGCAAGAGAGCAACAAAUGCAUACGAAAAUGGAGACUUUUGGUGCAACUACUGUGCCAAAAAAGUACCAGCCCUGACAAAGAUCAAAUUCAAUAUCCAGAUCAC
Long non-coding RNA from Rhododendron vialii, 701 nucleotides. RefSeq lists it as uncharacterized. Lineage: Eukaryota; Viridiplantae; Streptophyta; Magnoliopsida; Ericales; Ericaceae. The record is from RefSeq and is a predicted model, not a curated record. The transcript is spliced from 3 exons.